CCACAAUAAUGGGAUGCGUGUCUUUGGAGUGGAAUGGAGCAACUGCAAAGAGCAGAUGGUACCAGCCAUGGCCCUGUCUAGACCCAUCCCCAAGCUCGCUCGACAAAUAUCAAAAGAUAACUCUCAAGAAGGAGGAGGACAUUUUAUGAGUUACCUUGACACUGAAGGCAUCCUUGAGAUCAGCUCCUCAAGUAUGGAACCCAA
Molecule: long non-coding RNA, 204 nt
Organism: Pteropus alecto (black flying fox)
Lineage: Eukaryota; Metazoa; Chordata; Mammalia; Chiroptera; Pteropodidae
Exons: 3
Source: RefSeq, a predicted model, not a curated record